Long non-coding RNA from Panicum virgatum (switchgrass), 352 nucleotides. RefSeq lists it as uncharacterized. NCBI's taxonomy places the organism in Eukaryota, Viridiplantae, Streptophyta, Magnoliopsida, Poales, Poaceae. The record is from RefSeq and is a predicted model, not a curated record. The transcript is spliced from 3 exons.
AGUCACUCUGGAGGUCUACACUAAGCCGUUCAGCAUGCUUCCAUUGUCAGCAGUGGAGAAACCAGGCAACCUAUUGAUGCAAGGCCUGCUGGACAGGCUUGUUCCCGUGCUGGGGGAGCAGCUGCUGAGGGAGUACCAUUCCUGGGUCCAGCAGCAGCCUGAAGCUUCUUCAUGAUGUAGAGGGAGCCGACGCACGAUUCUCCGAUGCCUCGAGCAUUUCAUGCUUGGAGGUGGAUGGCAUUGGGGAUGGUUCGGCUGGUUCCCAGGGCUGUGGGAAUCCAUGUGGGGAUGGUUCAUAGGGGUAUCGGUUGCUGAUUUAUACAGUGGAACUGUUGAAGGAUUAGACAAAAAA